This 2670-nucleotide ribosomal RNA is filed under the name Triticum aestivum (bread wheat). RNAcentral's name for it is "partial small subunit ribosomal RNA". The record is from RNAcentral. Lineage: Eukaryota; Viridiplantae; Streptophyta; Magnoliopsida; Poales; Poaceae.
AUGGCGGAGACGGCCAUCACGGCCGUGCUCUCAAAACUUGGAGAGUUCGCGACCAAGGAGGCCGCGCUACUGCUUAAGGUGGGCGACGACAUCAUGCUGCUGCGCGACCGGCUCGAGUGGCUCCAGGCCUUCAUCCGCGACGCCGAUCGAAAACGCCGGGUCGGCGCCGACGAGUUGACCCGCGUGUGGGUGCGCCAGACGCGCGACGUCGCCUUCGAAGCCGAGGACGCGCUCGACGACUUCUUCCACAAGGUGGACCUAGCGAACCAGAAUUAUGGAGGUUGGAAGCUGGUGCUUAGAUACAUGACUAGCUGCAGGACCCAGAUCACCGUUCGACAUGGUCUGUCUGGUCAAAUCAACAGAAUCAAGACCAGACUAGAUCAAAUCUCAGAGAACCAAAAGGAAUACAAGAUCGACCAUUCUCCAUCAGGAAUAUGGACGUCUUCCACCACAGCCCUUGCACCGUGGGAUGGCCUAAAGAAAGUUGUGGGGCGUGAGCAAGAUGCAAAGACUGUACGUGAACUGCUGCUUCAUGAAGAGCAUCGCGAGCAAAUGUUCAUCUCCAUGUUAGGGGAGAGUGGUAUUGGAAAAAGGACACUAACAAUGCAAAUCUACAAGGACUUGAUGAGGAAUUUUGAAGUUUUCGUGUGGUACAACAUGCCACCGGAUUCCAGCAUGGAAGAUCUCCUAGAAGAAGUAUACAAGAGAGCAUACAAACGCAUCCACAAACAUAAUGAAACUCCUCAGGAUAACGGCAUCGAUAUUGUUGAUAAGCUCUAUGGUCUCCUCACUGAUAAGAGCUACCUGGUAGUUCUCGGUGGCAUUUCCUCCAAGACUAUCCUGAAUUGUGUGCGGGCAAGCUUGCCAGACAACAAAAUAGGCAGUAGGGUGGUGCUCAUACUGGAACCUGAAUGUGAGGAAGUCGCGUGGCAUGCUGCUACCUUGAACCAGGAAGGUUAUGAGAGCAAGAGUAUCCACAGGCUGAGCCAUUUGGAUGAAGAUACAAGUGGAGAACUGUUCCGUUCGAGGGUCUUUGCCGAACAGGGAAAGCACAACAAGGACACCAAGGACAACAAGGGCAGCAAGUACACCAAGGACAACAAGAAUACCAAGGAGAAGACAUAUGAAGAAGAUGUGUUUGAUGUAACACAAGGCCACCCUUUGGGUAUAGUGGUUCUCGCUGGACUCUUACGAUACAAGGAGAAGCCCGUUGAGUGGGAUGCAGUGCUCCAGGAGCUCAGACCUGGAAUGGAGGAGGCAGAAGAUGGUCAAGACAACCCAAUAACAGGGCUUUUGUUGUUGAAGGAGAACCCAGGUGAGUGGAAGACCUUUCAGCAGCAGAUGACCACCGCAAGGGAAACAAAGCUGUCCAACAGAAUGGUGAUCGAGAGGAUCUUGUCGGCGAGCUUUGAUGACCUCCCUCAAGAUCUCAAGUCAUGCUUCCUCUACUUGGCCGCUUACCCCAUGAAUGUCUCCCUUUCUGCUGGUCAUAUCGUGCGGAUGUGGACGGCUGAGGGCUUCAUCAAGCCACGUAAGGGCAGGACUCUAGAGGAGUUGGGACACAGCUACCUCAAGGAGUUGGUCUCGAGAUGCCUGGUUGAGUUGGAAAGCCAGAACGCACAUGGUGGAAUCAAGACGGUCACUGUUCACAGCCGCCUCGUAAGGUUCCUGCAAUCAGAAGCUCGAGAGGCGAGCUUCAUUGAGGUUAGUGACAGAAAUGACAUCCUUGCGCCAGCAUCGGUGCGCCGCCUCUCAAUUCAGGAUGACAGCGGGACCUACACCACAUUCAGCAAUAAGUUCCCCAAGCUGCGGUCCUUCAUAUGCCGCGUUGCAGCAGGUAAUAGCCAAAGCAGUGACAAGUCCGAUCAGAGUAAGAAGGAACGACGUGAGUUCCCAUGCGGGCCCAGGCUCGCCUGUGUAGUCUCCAGUCCCGUCACAGAGGAGGUAGCAGGAGGCAGCAACCUGAAGAGCCAUGAUCUCAAGUUUCUGUGCUGGUCCAAGUUCCUUCGCUUAAUCUCUGUACAGGGUUUGAAACUCCAGGAGUUGCCCGAUGAGAUUGGUGACAUGAUUCACCUGCGGUACCUACGUGUUGAAUGCCCUGGUCUGAAGAAGCUCCCUCGCAGCAUUAGAAGGCUACUCAAUCUGCAGACGCUCGACAUAAGCAAGACCGCUGUCGUGGAGAUUCACCCGCAUUUCUGGAAGAUCAAAACGCUCCGGCAUGUGCUUGCAGAGAAGCUCACACUCCCAACAUCACUUGUGAACGAACUGGCUGAGCUACAGACUCUGCACGGUGUGGUGGCCGGUGAAGGGAAAUGGGACCAAGGAAGGUCUCCGCUGGACAAGAUGGCCAAGCUUCAGUCACUGGAGCUGCACGGGUUCAACGCUGCUAACAAUGGGUCUGCACUGGAGGGUGCUCUCACUAACAUGCAUCUCCUUGGGCACUUGAAGCUGGAAGGUGAUGGUAUCCCCUCAUGCUUGUUUACCGGGCCUAUCCUUCGAUGCCUCCAGACUAUGGAGCUAGAUGGCGCUGCGAAAUGGCCUGUGGUCAGAUGGGAUAUUGUUCGCAAGGUCCGCCCCAACCUGGUUGGGCUCAAGCUUAAGAAUAACAGCCAAGUGCCAAAGGAGUUGUUGGAUGAAAUGGAAGCACAGAAGCUGAUGCUGCUUUCUUGA